Long non-coding RNA from Echinops telfairi (small Madagascar hedgehog), 337 nucleotides. RefSeq lists it as uncharacterized. The transcript is spliced from 2 exons. The record is from RefSeq and is a predicted model, not a curated record. NCBI's taxonomy places the organism in Eukaryota, Metazoa, Chordata, Mammalia, Afrosoricida, Tenrecidae.
ACUUGCUGAGGGUAAGGCAGAGAGAAGCAGCGGGGUCCUGGCUGCCUCUGCUGCCAUCCUGCCGCCCUCUCCCUCUGUGCAGAGAAGGAGCUCGGGUUGCUGCGGCGAGAGAACCGUAAGAACACGCUGCUGUCUCUGGCCAUCUUCGUCCUCCUGAGCCUCAUCUACGUCUGCUGGACCACCUCCUGGGGCACGCUCUGGGAAGCAGCCGGCAGCCAGAGCAGCCUCUGAGGGAAUGAGCCUCUUCUCCAAGCAGUGCGUCCCCCACCCCCCAUGGCUGCCCAAGACAAACAGCAGUGGAGUCACACACGGGCAUUAAAAAUAUGUUUAUCUUUAA